CGAAUGCUGACAUAAGUAACGAUAAAGCGGGUGAAAAGCCCGCUCGCCGGAAGACCAAGGGUUCCUGUCCAACGUUAAUCGGGGCAGGGUGAGUCGACCCCUAAGGCGAGGCCGAAAGGCGUAGUCGAUGGGAAACAGGUUAAUAUUCCUGUACUUGGUGUUACUGCGAAGGGGGGACGGAGAAGGCUAUGUUGGCCGGGCGACGGUUGUCCCGGUUUAAGCGUGUAGGCUGGUUUUCCAGGCAAAUCCGGAAAAUCAAGGCUGAGGCGUGAUGACGAGGCACUACGGUGCUGAAGCAACAAAUGCCCUGCUUCCAGGAAAAGCCUCUAAGCAUCAGGUAACAUCAAAUCGUACCCCAAACCGACACAGGUGGUCAGGUAGAGAAUACCAAGGCGCUUGAGAGAACUCGGGUGAAGGAACUAGGCAAAAUGGUGCCGUAACUUCGGGAGAAGGCACGCUGAUAUGUAGGUGAAGUCCCUCGCGGAUGGAGCUGAAAUCAGUCGAAGAUACCAGCUGGCUGCAACUGUUUAUUAAAAACACAGCACUGUGCAAACACGAAAGUGGACGUAUACGGUGUGACGCCUGCCCGGUGCCGGAAGGUUAAUUGAUGGGGUCAGCGCAAGCGAAGCUCUUGAUCGAAGCCCCGGUAAACGGCGGCCGUAACUAUAACGGUCCUAAGGUAGCGAAAUUCCUUGUCGGGUAAGUUCCGACCUGCACGAAUGGCGUAAUGAUGGCCAGGCUGUCUCCACCCGAGACUCAGUGAAAUUGAACUCGCUGUGAAGAUGCAGUGUACCCGCGGCAAGACGGAAAGACCCCGUGAACCUUUACUAUAGCUUGACACUGAACAUUGAGCCUUGAUGUGUAGGAUAGGUGGGAGGCUUUGAAGUGUGGACGCCAGUCUGCAUGGAGCCGACCUUGAAAUACCACCCUUUAAUGUUUGAUGUUCUAACGUGGACCCGUGAUCCGGGUUGCGGACAGUGUCUGGUGGGUAGUUUGACUGGGGCGGUCUCCUCCUAAAGAGUAACGGAGGAGCACGAAGGUUGGCUAAUCCUGGUCGGACAUCAGGAGGUUAGUGCAAUGGCAUAAGCCAGCUUGACUGCGAGCGUGACGGCGCGAGCAGGUGCGAAAGCAGGUCAUAGUGAUCCGGUGGUUCUGAAUGGAAGGGCCAUCGCUCAACGGAUAAAAGGUACUCCGGGGAUAACAGGCUGAUACCGCCCAAGAGUUCAUAUCGACGGCGGUGUUUGGCACCUCGAUGUCGGCUCAUCACAUCCUGGGGCUGAAGUAGGUCCCAAGGGUAUGGCUGUUCGCCAUUUAAAGUGGUACGCGAGCUGGGUUUAGAACGUCGUGAGACAGU
This 1354-nucleotide ribosomal RNA is filed under the name Escherichia coli. Its description in RNAcentral is "partial 23S ribosomal RNA". It matches the Rfam family "Bacterial large subunit ribosomal RNA", at positions 1291 to 2630 of the family's 2925-position model. The record is from RNAcentral. Lineage: Bacteria; Pseudomonadati; Pseudomonadota; Gammaproteobacteria; Enterobacterales; Enterobacteriaceae.